RNAcentral lists this unclassified non-coding RNA (2594 nucleotides) under Leishmania donovani. Its description in RNAcentral is "gene:LdHU3.05.0420(CDS-product:hypothetical_prote in_conserved)". Lineage: Eukaryota; Euglenozoa; Kinetoplastea; Trypanosomatida; Trypanosomatidae. The record is from RNAcentral.
CCCGCCACACACGCACACACAUACACAUACAACCUGCAUCAUCUUCCCUCUCUUCCCUCCUCCCCCGGUUCUCUUGCGCGCAAGGCGUGCACGUCCUGCGUGAGACCACCACUGCAUUGCGACUUUCUGCACCGAUGCAUACUCGAAGAAGGGGAGAGGGGCCUUCCACGCACACACAUCAAUCAAGUAACCGUGCAGAUGCCGUCCGAUCGCGACCCCUCCGGGGAUGGCUUCAACAACCCCUACGCGAAUACCACCCUUGUUGGUAACUGGUUGGAGGACCGCCUGCAGCAGCGCAUCGUGCACAAGCGCCGCGGCGGAGCGGCAGCGACAUGGUGCGCACAGGGCAUCUUUGAGGACCCGGCGGUGACGAUGGCGCGGCACCCGGCAGAGGCGCAGGCGGCCCUCUUGCACAGCACCUACGAAGUCGACUACGGACAUCGACUGGGAAUGACGCAACGGACCGGCAGUGGUGGCAUGGACAACUCUGCUGCCGUCUCCACGCUGAUGCGCGGUAGCAGGCACAACGCCAACGCUGCGGGCCCUGGCAGUGGCUCUUCCACGGCCAAGGGCGGAAUCGAUAAAGUGCUUCUCUUCUCCGUCGACCCCGUCGCGGACCCGGCAGCGCCGCUGCCGCUCUCCACCAACGCCGACACGUACGGCGCCUUCUACUACGAAACCGGCGACGGAUCGGUCGAUGUCAACGGGGCGCGGUACGCAGGCUCUUCAACGGGCGCCACCACCUCCUCGCCGGCUGACCGGGGGGACGGCGGGGCCACUGCGCCACCCGCUGGCGCGGAUCGUAACUUGUACGACAGCGUGUCACGCGCGGUAGCCGCUGCCGCUGCGCCGUCCUCCAGCUUUCGUAUGCCCAGGGCUCAGAUGCAGCGGGGUGCCAACGCCGACGCCACGUCGUCGUCGUUGCCAGUCCCGCGGCGCCACAUGCUCAGCCGCGGCGUAGCGACGACAAGCACGUUUGGCCACACAGGAUGGACACUCGCGUCCUCCUCCGCUACCUCAGCCGCUGGCCACGUUAGCGCGGCCCCCUGGCGACCGCCCCAGCGGCACCGACCGCCGAACAAGGACAGCAUGGACGGCGAGCGUUGGUGCUCAUCGAAGCAAGCUGCGGACACGCCGGUAGAGCACUUCACGCUGCAGCAGCGCCUGCCGCCAGUGCGCAUGUGAGGCACGACCGCCGUCUCCAGAGUGUUGGGCGGGAAAGGGGGUUAAGUGCGGCACCGACCGGGACUAGCAAGGAAUGAACGCUGGGAAAAAGCGCACGGCUGGGCCAAACGGCGCCCCUGCCCCGCCACGAUCGCGCCCCGCCUCAGCGAGUCGCCUCUCCCGCAUCUUAAACCCCGAAGUCGCCAAGGCGAGUGACGGCUCUCCAGGGCACGAAAACGGCGGCCCGCUCCUCUUCCUCGGAACGGUGAUGUACAUAGGCAGAAAACGGCAGACAGGCGCACACAUCAACAAAAGACCGCGAUGGCGAUCUACAGGCACGCUGCUGGCGAACAAUCCUCUCCCUGUGUCUCGUGCUAGCAUGUCGGCGCGCCUGUGCUCGUGUGGUAGCCCCUCACACGCACCACCACCACCGACUCUCUCACUCGCUCUUGGCUUGUGCGUCUCCCUGCCCGUGCAGUCGUCUCGCUAUCCCUCACUCCCUCACCCCUCGCCUACACUUUAGGCGUGGGUUGGGCGGGUCGUCUGCCUUUUUUUUUCCCACUUGGUCUGCUUGCUCCCCAUGAUGGAGAGAGGCGCUCACCGACGCGUCACCGUCUACCAUUCGCUUUCCCCCGGCUCCACACAGCCCCGCCACCCGACGUCUCCAUGUCGAGUUUGCCCCCAUGCGCGUUUCGGCCGGUGUGCGCAUGGGUUACCGCAGGUGGGAGGGAGUCGGCAGAGGGCGAUGACACAACGCGCAAGAGCGAUUGCAGGCGAAAAGUGGACCUAUGAGGAUUUCGGCCGGCGAGCUUCGACACGUGUCCGUGGGGCGUGCCAGGUGCAGGGCAGGGAGGGGGUGGGGUACAGUCAGAGGGGCACAUAUAUACGUAUACAUCAUGUACAGUCUCUACCAGUACACAGGCCGAGUGCAUACCCACCGCCACAGACACAUGCGCGCAUGCACCGCACCAGGCACACAGCACUGUGAAAGCGUCUGCACAGUGUACAACGUCGCGUUGUUCACGCUACCACCGCCACACACACACACACACCACCACCACCACCGCACUUUCACCGCCACUCGUGCUCGCGUGGAGGUCAAUGUCGCUCACCAAUGCCGACUCACGCUUCUUUACGAGCAUAGACGGCGGAAGAAAGGGGGCAGGCGGGGGGCUCGUGUUGGCCUCGUAGCGCAGCUUCAACUCUGCACGUCGUGUCAAGCUGCGUGCCUCAUCUCCAUCUCUUUUCUCCUCAUCCGCUCCGCCACACCUGCGGCCCUGUCCCCUCUUCGCGCCAGUUGGCCCCGCGCAUCACCCUCACCCACCCCCUUUCUAUAUAACUUCUCCACCCACACGCCACACUGCAGCUGACCCGCCCGCCCCCCCUCCUCUUUUCUACUCACUCUGCCGCACACACGCGCGCACACACAG